CCUACGGGGGGCUGCAGUAGGGAAUCUUCCGCAAUGGACGAAAGUCUGACGGAGCAACGCCGCGUGAGUGAUGAAGGUUUUCGGAUCGUAAAACUCUGUUGUUAGGGAAGAACAAGUAUCGUUCGAAUAGGGCGGUACCUUGACGGUACCUAACCAGAAAGCCACGGCUAACUACGUGCCAGCAGCCGCGGUAAUACGUAGGUGGCAAGCGUUGUCCGGAAUUAUUGGGCGUAAAGCGCGCGCAGGCGGUUUCUUAAGUCUGAUGUGAAAGCCCACGGCUCAACCGUGGAGGGUCAUUGGAAACUGGGAGACUUGAGUGCAGAAGAGAAGAGCGGAAUUCCACGUGUAGCGGUGAAAUGCGUAGAGAUGUGGAGGAACACCAGUGGCGAAGGCGGCUCUUUGGUCUGUAACUGACGCUGAGGCGCGAAAGC
This 431-nucleotide ribosomal RNA is filed under the name uncultured bacterium. RNAcentral's name for it is "bacterial SSU rRNA". It matches the Rfam family "Bacterial small subunit ribosomal RNA", at positions 338 to 760 of the family's 1533-position model. The record is from RNAcentral.